ACUGUGCUAAGGUAGCAAAAUCAUUUGACUGAUAAUUGCUUUCUGGAAUGAAAGGGCUUACAAGAAUAAAUCUUUCUUCUCUUUUAGAAACAAUUUUCAAAUUUAAGUAAAAAUGCUUUAUAAUCUUAGAAAGACGACAAGACCCUAGAACCUAAAAAUAAUUAUUUACUGGGGCGGUAAUUUUAACCCAAAAAUUAAUUCAACAUUAUGUAUGAUUAACUUUAAACCUAAUGAAUAAAUAAUAUAUUCCUAUUAGCUAAAAUAAGGUACUCUAGGGAUAACAGCAUAAUUUUUUUUUGGAGCCCUGAUCGACAAAAAAGAUUUUGACCUCGAUGUUGAAUUAUAAUUCCUUAAUAAAGCAGCCUUUAUUUAAGGGGGUCUGUUCGACCUUUAUUUUUAUACGUGAUCUGAG
Molecule: ribosomal RNA, 412 nt
Filed under: unidentified
Description: Burmoniscus sp. partial 16S ribosomal RNA
Rfam family: Bacterial large subunit ribosomal RNA
Source: RNAcentral